AUACGGAGGAUCCGAGCGUUAUCCGGAUUUAUUGGGUUUAAAGGGAGCGUAGGUGGGAUAUUAAGUCAGCUGUGAAAGUUUGGGGCUCAACCUUAAAAUUGCAGUUGAUACUGGUUUCCUUGAGUACGGUAUAGGUGGGCGGAAUUCGUGGUGUAGCGGUGAAAUGCUUAGAUAUCACGAAGAACUCCGAUCGCGAAGGCAGCUCACCGGGCCGGAACUGACACUGAUGCUCGAAAGUGCGGGUAUCAAACAGGAUUAGAUACCCUGGUAGUCCGCACAGUAAACGAUGAAUACUCGCUGUUUGCGAUACACUGUAAGCGGCCAAGCGAAAGCGUUAAGUAUUCCACCUGGGGAGUACGCCGGCAACGGUGAAACUCAAAGGAAUUGGCGGGG
RNAcentral lists this ribosomal RNA (393 nucleotides) under uncultured bacterium. Its description in RNAcentral is "partial 16S ribosomal RNA". It matches the Rfam family "Bacterial small subunit ribosomal RNA", at positions 523 to 918 of the family's 1533-position model. The record is from RNAcentral.